Oncorhynchus tshawytscha (Chinook salmon) is the source of this 2253-nucleotide long non-coding RNA. RefSeq lists it as uncharacterized. The transcript is spliced from 3 exons. Lineage: Eukaryota; Metazoa; Chordata; Actinopteri; Salmoniformes; Salmonidae. The record is from RefSeq and is a predicted model, not a curated record.
UGAUUUUAGAAACACUUCAAAUAAGGGCUGUGUUUCGUGUAGACUUACCCUGGCGGGACGUUUUGAUAACUGUGUGAUUCUCUCUUGAACAAGAACUACAAAUGCCUGUCUCAAGAUUAGCAUAACCCACCAGGGCGAUGAUGAUCUAGACUAGAGUGCCGAAACGAGGCAAAGGUGGAUUUCUGAGGAAUAAUGGAGGGGAGAAAAAGAGGAAGAAGAGGUUGAAGCAAAUGAGGAAAGCAGAGGUUGGAUUUGAGGAUGAUGGUGAUAAAAAUGGACAUGGGGUGUCGAAGAAGAUUGGUGUCAAGUGCAGAGUGAGACCUGGAGGAGAGUGGUGUCAAGUGCAGAGUGAGACCUGGAGGAGAGUGGUGUCAAGUGCAGAGUGAGACCUGGAGGAGAGUGGUGUCAAGUGCAAACAGAGUGAGACCUGGAGGAGAGUGGUGUCAAGUGCAAACAGAGUGAGACCUGGAGGAGAGUGGUGUCAAGUGCAGAGUGAGACCUGGAGGAGAGUGGUGUCAAGUGCAGAGUGAGACCUGGAGGAGAGUGGUGUCUGCAGAGUGAGACCUGGAGGAGAGUGGUGUCCAGUGCAGAGUGAGACCUGGAGGAGAGUGGUGUCAAGUGCAAACAGAGUGAGACCUGGAGGAGAGUGGUGUCAAGUGCAAACAGAGUGAGACCUGGAGGAGAGUGGUGUCAAGUGCAAACAGAGUGAGACCUGGAGGAGAGUGGGGUCAAGUGCAAACAGAGUGAGACCUGGAGGAGAGUGGUGUCAAGUGCAGAGUGAGACCUGGAGGAGAGUGGUGUCAAGUGCAGAGUGAGACCUGGGGGAGAGUGGUGUCAAGUGCAAACAGAGUGAGACCUGGAGGAGAGUGGUGUCAAGUGCAGAGUGAGACCUGGAGGAGAGUGGUGUCAAGUGCAAACAGAGUGAGACCUGGAGGAGAGUGGUGUCAAGUGCAGAGUGAGACCUGGAGGAGAGUGGUGUCAAGUGCAAACAGAGUGAGACCUGGAGGAGAGUGGUGUCAAGUGCAAACAGAGUGAGACCUGGAGGAGAGUGGUGUCAAGUGCAAACAGAGUGAGACCUGGAGGAGAGUGGUGUCAAGUGCAGAGUGAGACCUGGAGGAGAGUGGUGUCAAGUGCAAACAGAGUGAGACCUGGAGGAGAGUGGUGUCAAGUGCAAACAGAGUGAGACCUGGAGGAGAGUGGUGUCAAGUGCAAACAGAGUGAGACCUGUAGGAGAGUGGUGUCAAGUGCAAACAGAGUGAGACCUGGGGGAGAGUGGUGUCAAGUGCAAACAGAGUGAGACCUGGAGGAGAGUGGUGUCAAGUGCAAACAGAGUGAGACCUGGGGGAGAGUGGUGUCAAGUGCAAACAGAGUGAGCCGUGCGCCAGACCAAGUGCUGGAGGUGAAAUGGAAGUGAGUUAAAUGAGGUGGAAGGUGUGGUGAAGAGCUCUGAGCCUCAGUAUGGCAUCGAUGGUCAUGAUCAAGAAGAAUCUGGUCCAGUAGGAGUGACAUCUGUGGUUUCAGGGUGGGUGGGAAAGGAGUUUGGUGCAGUUGAAUCAGUGAAGGUAACCUGUAGUGGACUUGUGAUAUUUGUUUGUGUCUCUUCUGACCAGGGGGAGCGGGAGUGUCAUGCAACUUGGGUCAAGAUUGGUUUCUUUCUUUGCUCUUAGGAACAGGGCACCAUCAAAAGGAGUGAUUUAUGGGGUAGCGUGGAGCAAUUGAAGUUGGAGAUUCCGGGUGUUUGUGAUGCCCGCCGUUUGGUGCUAUGCGGGCCUGGUGGUGAGCGUGGUGAAACAGAGGAGUCACUGUCAGUACUUUUUAGUUUUGAGUCAGUCUUUACCUGACAAAGUCCUGUUAGGAUGUAUCAGUUAUCCUGUUAAAGCUUGUGUGCUGAAUCCACAAAACCCCUUUUUAUGUUUAUUCCAUGGCCAACCAUCCCUCUAGCUACCCCUUAUUCCACACUAUGCCUUUCAUGCCCCAUGGUCCCUCAACUUCAGACACUUUUAACUCUUAUCGCUGUAAACCCAACCUUCCUUCACUUGUUGGGCUCCUGAUUGGAUAACAUCUAGACUGUGUUGUGGUGUACUUUUCUUUCACCUAUGUAAUGCUUUCCUCCUUCUGCUUAUUCUGGGGUUCAGACAGAAUGCAAUGGUAAAGGUGCUGCUCACAAUUGAUAGCAGCAACAUGGACCUGUUACAUUGACCAGAAGGGUGUUGAUAUAGCUGUGUUUAGGCAUGGCUUCAUGGACCUGUUCCA